GUGGUGUUAGCUUAAUGGUAUAGCAGAGGAUUUAAUUCUUUGGUUGCAGGUUCAAAUCCUGCACAGCCCGCCA
RNAcentral lists this transfer RNA (73 nucleotides) under Arsenophonus nasoniae (son-killer infecting Nasonia vitripennis). Its description in RNAcentral is "tRNA-OTHER". It matches the Rfam family "tRNA". From Rfam's summary of the family: Transfer RNA (tRNA) molecules are approximately 80 nucleotides in length. Their secondary structure includes four short double-helical elements and three loops (D, anti-codon, and T loops). Lineage: Bacteria; Pseudomonadati; Pseudomonadota; Gammaproteobacteria; Enterobacterales; Morganellaceae. The record is from RNAcentral.